CCCUUAGAUGUUCGGGGCCGCACGCGCGCUACACUGAAGGAAUCAGCACGUCUUUCUCCUUGUCCGAAAGGACUGGGUAACCCGCUGAACCUCCUUCGUGCUAGGGAUUGGGGCUUGUAAUUUUUCCCCAUGAACGAGGAAUUCCCAGUAAGCGCGAGUCAUAAGCUCGCGUUGAUUACGUCCCUGCCCUUUGUACACACCGCCCGUCGCUCCUACCGAUUGAAUGGUCCGGUGAAGCGUUCGGACCGUGGCCUUUGGACGGUUCGCCGUCUGUUGGCUGCGGGAAGUUCGUUAAACCUUAUCAUUUAGAGGAAGGAGAAGUCGUANCA
Molecule: ribosomal RNA, 329 nt
Filed under: uncultured eukaryote
Lineage: Eukaryota
Description: partial 18S ribosomal RNA
Rfam family: Eukaryotic small subunit ribosomal RNA
Source: RNAcentral